Molecule: long non-coding RNA, 310 nt
Organism: Pipistrellus kuhlii (Kuhl's pipistrelle)
Lineage: Eukaryota; Metazoa; Chordata; Mammalia; Chiroptera; Vespertilionidae
Exons: 2
Source: RefSeq, a predicted model, not a curated record
AUGAAAAAAGUUGGUGUGUAUUCUUUCCCAUUUUAAAACUAACAGUGAUGUACACAAAGGAAUAAUAGCUACUUGUAGUUGUUACUAGGUACUUAUUUCCAAGGCACUUUAUAACUAUACCUUUGGGCAAAUUAUUUAAUCCUCUCUUUCUUAGUCCCCUGUCUGCAAAUGGGGAUUGUAAUUAUUCCUACUUCAGAGGGUGUUGUGAGAUAAUUUAUGAAAAUCAUGUGGAAGAGUGAACAGCCUGGUACAUAGUGCUCAGUAAUGUAUCUAUUUUUAGCACCAUCACCAAUUUAUUUUCAUCUUCACC